UACGGGGGGAGCAAGCGUUGUUCGGAUUUACUGGGCGUAAAGGGCGCGUAGGCGGCCAGCACAAGUCAGUUGUGAAAUCUCCGGGCUUAACUCGGAAAGGUCAACUGAUACUGUGCGGCUAGAGUGCAGAAGGGGCAACUGGAAUUCUCGGUGUAGCGGUGAAAUGCGUAGAUAUCGAGAGGAACACCUGCGGCGAAGGCGGGUUGCUGGGCUGACACUGACGCUGACGCGCGAAAGCCAGGGGAGCGAACGGG
This 254-nucleotide ribosomal RNA is filed under the name uncultured bacterium. Its description in RNAcentral is "partial 16S ribosomal RNA". It matches the Rfam family "Bacterial small subunit ribosomal RNA", at positions 524 to 776 of the family's 1533-position model. The record is from RNAcentral.